RNAcentral lists this unclassified non-coding RNA (348 nucleotides) under soil metagenome. Its description in RNAcentral is "partial contains 5.8S ribosomal RNA, internal transcribed spacer 2, and large subunit ribosomal RNA". The stretch from base 1 to 120 matches the Rfam family "5.8S ribosomal RNA", at positions 35 to 154 of the family's 154-position model. The record is from RNAcentral.
GAUGAAGAACGUAGCGAAAUGCGAUACGUAAUGUGAAUUGCAGAAUUCAGUGAAUCAUCGAAUCUUUGAACGCACAUUGCGCCCGCCAGUAUUCUGGCGGGCAUGCCUGUCUGAGCGUCAUUUCAACCCUCAUGCCCCUAGGGCGUGGUGUUGGGGAUCGGCCAAAGCCCGCGAGGGACGGCCGGCCCCUAAAUCUAGUGGCGGACCCGUCGUGGCCUCCUCUGCGAAGUAGUGAUAUUCCGCAUCGGAGAGCGAUGAGCCCCUGCCGUUAAACCCCCCACUUUCCAAGGUUGACCUCAGAUCAGGUAGGAAUACCCGCUGAACUUAAGCAUAUCAAUAAGCGGAGGA